RNAcentral lists this long non-coding RNA (7607 nucleotides) under Lactuca sativa (garden lettuce). RNAcentral's name for it is "long non-coding RNA (LSAT_LNC008309)". Lineage: Eukaryota; Viridiplantae; Streptophyta; Magnoliopsida; Asterales; Asteraceae. The record is from RNAcentral.
CCGGAACUUCGAUAAAUCAUAACUUCCUCAUACGAAGUCAGAUUUGGGCGUUCUAUAUAUAUUCGGAAACCUCGUUUCAACUACUACAACAUUAACCAAAGAUAUUAAGUUUAUUUUACACUUAAAUUUUGACGCUUAUUUUUAUUCUUAAUUAAUCAAACCACAUAAUUAAGCAAUUAAGCACAAAACACAUAAUACUCAAAUAAUACAAUCUUAUUAUUUCAAAACGGGUUACAAAGGUUAACCUAGACUAUUAUAUUGCUAAAAAUGGCAAGCCCGGAAACACAGGCGUUACAAUUCUCUCCACCUUAGAAUGAUUCCGUCCCCGGAAUCACACAUCAACAAACAAAUGCGGAUAGCGACUCAACAUGUCACUCUCCGUCUCCCAGGUGAGAUUCGGCCCAUUCGUGUGUUUCCAUCGGACAAGCACUAACCCAACCAUUUUGCGUCGCAACUUCUUAGUCUUUCGGUCAACAAUUGCCUCUGGUUCUUCAAUCAACCUUUUGUUCUCAUCAAUUCUCAAUUCAGAAAUUGGAAUUAUAUCGGGAACUUCUCCCGUGAACUUCCUCAAAUAACACACAUGAAAGGUGUUGUGAAUUCCAUUCAGUUCUUCGGGUAAUUCGAGCUUGUAAGCUUGGUUCCCAAUCCUCUGAAGGACUUUAAACGGUCCAAUAAACCUUGGACUCAACUUUCCCCUUUUACCAAAUCUUAUAAGUCCCUUCCACGGCGAGACUUUAAGCAAAACCGAAUCUCCAACCUCAAAAGUCAUCGGUCUUCGCUUCUUGUCAGCAUAGCUCUUUUGACGAUCUUGAGCUGCUAACAUUCUUUCCCUAAUUAUUUUCAACUUUUCAGCAGUUUGAUGAACCAUCUCCGGUCCCAUAAACUGCUUUUCCCCAGCCUCAAGCCAACAAGACGGCGUACGACACUUCUGUCCAUACAAAGCUUGAUAAGGUGCCAUCUUAAUGCUCGAGUGAAAACUAUUAUUAUAGGAAAAUUCUACCAACGGUAAAUGUUCAUCCCAAUUACCUAGGAAUUCCAAGGUACAUGCUCUCAGCAUAUCUUCAAGUGUUUGUAUUGUUCUUUCACUCUGACCAUCAGUCUGCGGAUGGUAAGCUGUGCUUAAACAUAACUUGGUACCCAUUUCCUCUUGUAGACUUUUCCAAAACCUUGAGGUGAAACGGCUAUCACGAUCCGAUACAAUCGUUAACGGAACACCGUGAAGCCUCACAAUUUCCUUCACGUAAGAAUUCGCAAGCUUUUCCAUAGACCAUUUCUCCCUGGCCGCUAUGAAAUGCGCACUCUUAGUGAAUCGAUCAACGACCACCCAAAUCAUGUCGUGACCAUUCUUUGUUCUGGGCAGUUUAGUGACAAAAUCCAUAGCAAUGUCUUCCCACUUACCCAUAGGCACAGGCAAAGGUUCUAAACUCCCGUACGGUUUCUGAUGUUGUGUCUUGACUCUCGCACAAGUCACACACUCGGCCACAUACUUUGCAACAUCAAGCUUCAUCGUCGGCCACCAGUAGUAGGGUUUCAGGUCCCUAUACAUUUUAGUGCUACCCGGAUGAAUCGAGUACAUGGUCUUGUGAGCUUCUUCCAUCAGAAGAUCUCUAAUUCCUCCUGACUUAGGUACCCAAAUACGAUCUUGGAAUACCUUCAGUCCAUGACCGUUAGUACCAAACACCAACGUUUUACCCAAACGUUCCUCCUUUCGGUCAUUUUUCUCAGAAGCUUCCUCUUGAGCUUUCUUUAUACUUUCCACAAUGGUCGAGACAACUUCAAUUCUCAACGCUCUUGGCCUCUUCCUUUCAAGAUUGACCUUCCGACUGAGAGCAUCAGCAACAACAUUAGCUUUACCGGGGUGGUAAAGUAUCUCGCAGUCGUAGUCUUUAAGUAAUUCUAGCCAGCGUCGUUGCCUCAUAUUCAAUUCUUUCUGAUUAAAGAGGUAUUGGAGACUCUUAUGAUCAGUGAAAAGUUUGCACUUCGUGCCAUAGAGGUAAUGCCUCCAUAUUUUCAGAGCGAAAACUACCGCUGCCAACUCCAAAUCAUGAGUCGGGUAAUUCUUUUCAUGCUCUUUCAGCUGUCGAGACGCAUAUGCUAUCACCUUUUCUCUUUGGGUCAAAACACAACCCAAUCCAACACCAGACGCAUCGCUAUAAACAGCGAAGUCUUCAACUCCAUCGGGUAGAGAAAGUAUCGGUGCCUCGCAUAGCUUCUUCUUUAACUUCUCGAAUGCUUCUUUAUGCUUCUCACUCCAAGCAUAAGUAGCUCCUUUGUGGGUCAAAGCUGUUAAUGGAGUAGCAAUCGAAGAAAAGCCUUGGAUAAACCUUCGGUAAUAUCCGGCUAAUCCUAAAAAGCUUCGAAUCUCCGUGGGACUUUUCGGUUGUUCCCACUUCGUCACAGCUUCGAUCUUCGCUGGAUCAACCAUUAUCCCUUCUUGGUUGACCACGUGACCCAAGAAUUGGACUUCACGAAUCCAAAAAUCACAUUUGGAGAACUUUGCAUACAGCUUCUCCUUCUUCAAGACUUCUAACACUUCUCGCAAGUGUCUGCCAUGCUCCUCCUGGCUUUUCGAGUAAAUCAGAAUGUCGUCUAUGAACACUAUCACGGAUUUAUCAAGGAACGGGUUACAAACCCUAUUCAUCAAAUCCAUGAACGCUGCUGGAGCAUUGGUUAGUCCAAACGACAUAACCAAGAACUCGUAGUGUCCAUAUCUAGUUCUGAAUGCAGUCUUCUCGAUAUCUUGCUCUCUUACUUUCAGCUGAUGAUAUCCUGACCUAAGAUCGAUCUUCGAGAAAUAGCUCGAACCUUGCAAUUGAUCAAACAGGUCAUCAAUCCUCGGCAACGGAUAUCUAUUCUUUAUUGUUGCCUUGUUCAGCUCUCUGUAAUCGAUGCACAUUCUCAUACUUCCAUCUUUCUUCUUUACAAAUAACACCGGAGCUCCCCAGGGCGAUGAACUAGGUCUAAUGAAACCUUUGUCCAAUAACUCCUGAAGUUGCAUCAUUAGCUCCUUCAUCUCCGUCGGUGCUAAUCGAUAAGGUGCUUUUGCUAUUGGCGUGGUUCCUGGUAACAAGUCUAUUCUGAACUCCACUUGUCUAUCAGGUGGUAAUCCAGGAAGAUCCUCGGGAAAUACUUCCGGAUAAUCACACACCACUGGAAUACUCUGCAUCACCUUCUUUUCUUUCUUAGCAUCAAUCACGAAUGCUAAAUAUGAUGUACAUCCCUUGGUCAAACACUUUCUGGCUUUCAUUAGAGAAAUGAUUCCAGAAUUCACUCUGCGUUUGUCCCCAUACACCAUAAACGAAUCUUUCCCAGGCGGGUUUACUUUAACUAUCUUCUUCUUGCACAAAAUUUCGGCAUCAUUGGCGCUAAGCCAAUCCAUUCCCAAGACGAUGUCGAAACCAUUUAGUUCGAUAGGCAAUAAUUCCUCGAGAAACUUAUUCCCAUUAAGGUCGAUCAAGACGUUUUUCAUACGAUGGCUAACAGGUACAAACUUGCCACUAGCUACUUCGACUAAUAAAGCAUUAUUUAGUCUAUCAACAGGCAAAGCUAGCUUUCUACCAAACUCAUGCGAAAUAAAGGAGUAGUUGGCUCCAGAAUCAAACAAUAUAUGAGCAGGUAAUUCGUUUACGAGAAAGGUACCUGAAGCGACAUCAGCUUCAUCUUUCGCAGCCUCAAGUGUCAUCUGGAAGGCUCUCGCCUUCGGCUUUGGUGGAAUGUUGGGCCUAGCUGCCUCCUUCUUCUUCGGACAGUCUUUCAAAAUAUGCCCCUCUUCAUUACAACCAAAACACAUCCUUUUGUUGUUCGGACAUUCAUUGGCAAAAUGUCCAACCUUUCCACACUUGUAGCAGGUCACAUCCUCGCUACAUUUCCCAAAGUGCUUUUUCUUACACUUAUCACACCACUUCGCUUCGCCUCCUUUUCCUCCAAACUUUUUCGAAUCAGAUUUCGAAAAUUUGCUCUUCUUACUGGAACCAGAUGUUCCUUCAAACUUCCUUUUCUCACCAACCUCAACCUUGACGGUGGUUCUCCCCUUGAUCAUGUUCUCCACAGACUUGGCAGCCCAGAUAGCUGCCUCUAGAGUAAGUGCCUGACGUACUGGCACCUCGUACUCCCAUGGAAGUCCCUUCGCAUACCGAUCCACCUUUGUCAGCUCGUCUGGAACGAUACGCAAGGCAAACUCCAUCUUAUCGGUGAAGUUAUUGGUGUAUUCAUCAACUGACAUGCUACCCUUCGUCAAUGUCAAAAACUUAUUCUCCAACUCCAACAGAUUUUGAGCCGAGCAGAACUUGCGCUUGAACUGCACCAAGAACUCUGCCCAUGACAAUUGCAGUGGCUCAUUAGGGCUUAAGGUCUUCCCUAGAGUGUUCCACCAACGAACGGCUCCACCUCGGAAUUGUCGCACGGCAUAGAUAGUCUGCAACUUGCCUCUACAGCCACAUGUCAUAAAGGCUAACUCCAUUUCGGAGAUCCAAUCCAUAACCCCAAUCGGAUCCUCCUUUCCAUUGAAGGUCGAUGGUUUACAAGUCAAAAAGUCCUUGUACUUGCAUCCCAUUCCAUCAUUCCUUCCAUCAUGGUUAUCUUGCCUAACUAUCGGUGGGUUGGCUGGACCAACAGACCCACUGAAGUUUCCACCUUCCGAGUGCCCUUCAUUCAGUUCAGGCUCUUCCACACGAAUCGACAGUUCUUCACGAUUUUGUUGAAGCAACCGUCUAGUUUCAUCCAUCUGACGAUCCAACAUCGUCUGAAUCAUCAAUUGCACACCAGCCAUGGUUAUUGGCUCAGGUGCUGCUGCUACGACAGGUAUUGGCUCAAUCACUGGUGGUUGAUUCCUGUUUUCGUCAGCAUUUCCAACUCCACUUCUUGUUCUCACCAUUUUGAUCUACACACCGAAUAAGGUGAAAUUAGAUCCUCAAUCAUGAUAGAUAUUCAAAUCAUCCUUAUCACUCCGAAACGUUUACAUGCUAGUUCUAAUAUCGUAGACGUACGCUUAGAAUCCUACACACAUAAGGUUUCUAGAUCCGGUCGGCAACAGACCAUAGAUCCGAACAAAUAAUAUCAUAUAUGGCAACAUAUAACAUUUAGCACAUAAAGCAUUUUAGGCAACUUUCCUAAAAUAAACUAGUGCUCGUGUCUAAAACACAACAGACACACAUCUCAAAACUUCACUUAGCAUUCUAAGUUUAAGUCUAGAAAUCCUACAAAUUCCUAGUUCGCUUAAACUAAUGCUCUGAUACCAACUGUGACAUCCCCAAAAUCUCGGCCAGAAAAGACCGAUUUUCAUUUAUGCUUUUAAAUAUUUUCAGAGUAAAUCCUUUUGAUUUGAAAGAGUUGCGGAAUUUGUUCCCAAAAACAAAACAUGAUAAAACAUUGUUUACCGAAGCAUUUCAUAAAAGAAAUGUAUUUUCAUUAUAAUCAAAACUCGGGGUGUCAUGUUCCGAUACAGACCAAUAAGCAUAAACGAAUACAUUACAAGUCAUAUAACAAAUAUAAACAUAUGCAGACUUGUAAACAAAACAACUUGAUGGUUCAUCCAUCUCAUGCCCUUCCGCCACUACCUGUAAUACAAUUUAAAACUGAGUGGGUCAGGCUUGGGAGCCUGGUGAGCAUAUAGGGUUUUCAACCCACAAUAAAUAUCAUAUUUAAUUUUCACCAACCAACAAUAACCCAAUUACCCAUUCCCGUUAUUCUCACUUUAAUGUCCCUAAAACAACUAACAUAAGGGACCUAGUCUAAGAAUAUUUCAUCGGGGCGACAACACAUGCUUCGGGGGUACCUCAGCAAUAUAAGUCAAAUAAGGCAACCAUGAGGGGGAUGGAGUACAGCGAAUGAACACCCAAGUUCAUUAACACCUACAGGUGGCGAACCUGCUAAUGUUUCCACAAGACUGUCUAGAAUAGCCAGUGGUCGUCAUCUAAACUCCGCUAGAUGACUCAAUCAAACAACAACGAGGCCUCUCAUCUGUUUAUUACACACCAACUGUCUACCCAUGUUCUACCCAACAUAUUAGUAGAUAAAAAUAUACAUUUGUAUACAUAGUUUAAAGAAAACCUGUAUAGCAUGCUUUAAUCAACACAUAUAUCACAUAACAGAUGAGGCACACACACACAUAACACAUAUCUCAUAAAGAAAUAAGCAGAUCUAUAAGAUAGAAGAGAGUGAAUACUCAUUCACACAUAACACAACCAAAUAUAUACACAUAGCACGUAUUUUUAUAUAAAAUACUUCGUAUUAUUGUAUUAGAAGAAAUAACUACACACUCACUUGAUCAGAAGAUGAUCGGACAGCACUACGGCUUAUAGAAGUAGUAAUCCACAGCAGAUCUGGAAGAUCUUCUCGAAAAUCGAACUUCUCGCGGGCAGAGCUUCGACUCGGGAACCGCACUUUUCGGGAUCUUCGGGAUCUCGGGACUUGCCUCGGGGCUAGAGUAUGAUACCGGGACUUCGGGGUAGCUUCGGGGGUUUUUGCACAGAGCUUCGACACGAAAACGAGAGGGAAUUGGCAAAAAUACCCGGAACCCUCGCAUCCUAUUUAUAGGAGGCUGGAGCCUCGGAGUACGCGGGGCGUACUGCGUUACGCGGGGCGUACUGCCCAAAACGUCAUUGCUUACGUAUCCGAAGUGCUCGAGUGCGAGUGUCGACAUCCCUCGGAGUACGCGGGGCGUACUCGAGUACGCGGGGCGUACCUCGGAUCAGAUCGGUGACUCCUUCGGAUAAUGCUUCCGAAUUUUGAUUUAAAUAUAAAUACAAAAUGAUUAAUAAACUUCGGAAAUUCAUAACUUCUUCAUACGAACUCCGUUUUCGACGUUCUUUAUAUCCACGGAAAGGUGAGACCAUGCUCUACGACUUUCGUUUAGACUCCGUCGGCUAAUUUUGACUUUAUUUUUAUUAAUUAUUUUUAAUAGGCCGCGACAGAAACUUUCGUUAUAAAUUCAUAACUUCUUCGUUUGACGUCCGUUCUCGCCUAACUUUUUAUCGCUUCGAUACCAACAAUGAGAUCUUCGAUUCUCAUUUAGAUUGCUUCGGCUAACAACCGCUCGAUCUCAAUUCGAGUAUAUCAGGCUGUAUACCGCUAAGCCUGAACUUCGAUAAAUCAUAACUUCCUCAUACGAAGUCAGAUUUGGGCGUUCUAUAUAUAAUCGGAAACCUCGUUUCGACUACUACAACAUUAACCAAAGAUAUUAAGUUUAUUUCACACUUAAAUUUUGACGCUUAUUUUUAUUCUUAAUUAAUCAGACCACAUAAUUAAGCAAUUAAGCACAAAACACAUAAUACUCAAAUAAUACAUUCUUAUUAUUUCAAAACGGGUUACAAAGGUUAACCUAGACUAUUAUAUUGCUAAAUAUGGCAAGCCCGGAAACACAAGCGUUACAUCGAUGGUUUCGUUAAGGCAUCAACUAAUGGGUUUCUUUCCGUGUGCAUCUACAUUCGAGGUGAGCUUCCUUACCGGGUUUAGCGGGUCGAAGGCACCAAUACCGGCCGAUGUUUAUUUUAUGUUGAUAGAAUGCUAGUUGUCUUUGUGACUCUUGCAUGUACCUGUGUUUAUAUGUUGUUGGACUAAGGUCCGAUGUCGGGCGGAGCCCGUUGACUAUUUGUAUGCUGUGUAUAUUG